RNAcentral lists this ribosomal RNA (408 nucleotides) under uncultured bacterium. Its description in RNAcentral is "partial 16S ribosomal RNA". It matches the Rfam family "Bacterial small subunit ribosomal RNA", at positions 28 to 526 of the family's 1533-position model. The record is from RNAcentral.
GACGAACGCUGGCGGCGUGCUUAACACAUGCAAGUCGAACGCAGUGGCGAACGGGUGAGUAACACGUGAGUAACCUGCCCCCUUCUUUGGGAUAACGCCCGGACACGGGUGCUAAUACUGGACAGCGGGGGAUGGGCUCGCGGGCUAUUAGCUUGUUGGUGGGGUGAUGGCCUACCAAGGCCUUGACGGGUAGCCGGCCUGAAAGGGUGACCGGUCACAUUGGGACUGGGAUACGGCCCGGACUCCUGCGGGAGGGGGCAGUGGUGAAUAUUGCACAAUGGGCGAAAGCCUGAUGCAGCGGCGCCGCGUGAGGGAUGACGGCCUUCGGGUUGUAAACCUCUUUCGCUCAUGGUCGGGUAGUGGGUAAAGAAGCGCCGGCUAACUACGUGCCAGCAGCCGCGGUAAUAC